RNAcentral lists this ribosomal RNA (324 nucleotides) under uncultured eukaryote. Its description in RNAcentral is "partial 18S ribosomal RNA". It matches the Rfam family "Eukaryotic small subunit ribosomal RNA", at positions 1470 to 1796 of the family's 1831-position model. The record is from RNAcentral.
CCCUUAGAUGUUCUGGGCUGCACGCGCGCUACACUGAAGCUAUCAACACGUUUUCCCUCCCUGAGAAGGGCGGGUAACCUUUUGAAUCAGCUUCGUGGUAGGGAUCGGGGCUUGCAAUUGUUCCCCGUGAACCAGGAAUUCCUAGUAGACGCGAGUCAUAAGCUCGCAUCGAUUAAGUCCCUGCCCUUUGUACACACCGCCCGUCGCUACUACCGAUUGAACGUUUUAGUGAGGCAUUUGGACCGACGUAUCUCAGUUUAACCGCUGGUUUGUGUUGGAAAGACUUCCAAACUUGAGCGUUUAGAGGAAGUAAAAGUCGUAACA